GGUUUGGAAGGCUGACUAGAAUGCUUGGACUUCUAGCCAGGCCUCUUCCAGGCUGCUGGGUUCAUGCGUCAGAGAACACAGCCGUCACUGACUGACACAGGACCGUCUUCCCAUCCCUUCAGGCCUCUCUCUGCUCACUAACCUCAUGGCUGCGGAUGCGGUCCUCCAGGUCUGCCAGUGGAGCAGAUCGGUUCAGCGGUGUCCGAGCCCAGGGUCUGCAGCUCUACGCCCAGUCUGGAAUGAGGAGACGAGAGAGGCGUGUCUCUCUCCCAGCCCAUCCCCAGCACACACCGCCUCAAAGGAAAGCAUUGGCCUUGGUGCCUGUGGGCAUCUUGGGGUGAGCGACCUGGAGGCCGUUGCUACAGCUUCCGGGU
Long non-coding RNA from Mesocricetus auratus (golden hamster), 374 nucleotides. RefSeq lists it as uncharacterized. The transcript is spliced from 3 exons. The record is from RefSeq and is a predicted model, not a curated record. Lineage: Eukaryota; Metazoa; Chordata; Mammalia; Rodentia; Cricetidae.